This is a long non-coding RNA of Cornus florida, 6308 nucleotides long. RefSeq lists it as uncharacterized. The record is from RefSeq and is a predicted model, not a curated record. The transcript is spliced from 4 exons. NCBI's taxonomy places the organism in Eukaryota, Viridiplantae, Streptophyta, Magnoliopsida, Cornales, Cornaceae.
GUCCCGUGAAUAAGCAAAAAUAUUUGCCGCUUGCCAUCUCCCAAAAUUUCCCACUCCCACGCCACUCACACUCAACUAGAGCCACUUAGAAUAUAUAUAUAUAAAUAAAUAACUAAAAAUAAAUUCACUCUUUCUCAUUUCCGGACGAAACCCCUCUCUCUCAUGCCCAGGAAACCACCGCUCAAACAUUCCAACCUACUUGGUUUCUCAAUUUUUACUGAUUUCUUUUGUCUCCACCAAAGCCCUAAUUUCAUUGCCCUAGUUCUUAAUCUUUGAGGGUGCAUUCAUCAAACAAAUCAAAGCCCUAGUUAUUAAUCUUUGAGAGUUCAUUCAUCAAACAAAUCAAAGCCAUAAUCCUUAAACUUUGGUUGAUUAUUUCAUUUCAGAUUAAAGGUGCGAAAGAGGAUUUCAUUGCCCUAACUCUAGGCAAGUUUCAGAUAAAAGGUGCGAAAGAGGAUUUCAUUGCCCUAAUCCCAUCCUUCGUUCCUGCAGCAGUAUCCGAUCGUUUCUCGCCACCGUCGACCUCUCGGGGGAGAUAACCGUUCACUGUCGGUUAAGAUUUAUUAGGUAUGUGGGUUUCUCCUGCCCGAUGAGCUUCCCUGCAGAUUCCGGCAGCCCAUAUUCAUCUUUUUCGGCCGCGGUUGGCCAGAAUUUCUUACAGUCCAUCUCAAUCUCUCUCUUCGUUCCUCUUCUCUCACUAUUGUGAUCUCGGUGCAAAAAUGAGGAGGAAGUAGUUACUGUUAUUGCACAUGAACUGGGUCAUUGGAAGCUUAAUCAUACAAUGUACUCUUUCAUUGCUGUUCAGGUAUGCUUUAAUUAUUCUCUUUGAAUGUCCCAUGAUACCCUGCUAGUUAUAUAUAUCAUCGUUACAUAUGUAUGGGUACUGGUGUCAGAUGUCAUUAGUUUAUAAGUUUUUUUUGUAAUUGGAGCUAGUGUUUUUAAAGGCAUUGGAAAUUGUGAAGUCACGCCUGGUUUCUUGUCUUGAGAAGAGGGUCAAUGAAAAUUUGAGGCAUGGCAUCUUUUUUGUAAUUGGAGCCAGUGUUUUUAAAGGCAUUGGAAAUUGUGAAGUCACGCCUGGUUUCUUGUCUUGAGAAGAGGGUCAAUGAAAAUUUGAGGCAUGGCAUCGUGACUCCAUGAACAUGGUUUCAAAUUUGUGAUUCAUGAAGUUUUCUCCGAGACUAAUUAAAUUUAGUAAAUAUAAGAUAAAAAUGUUGGGAAUGUGUUGGGUGGAGGAAAAUUAAUUAUGUUGUCUAGUGUGGAGGAUUUUGUUAUCAUUUUGCAAUUAUUAUAAAAUGUUUUUCUUUAAUAAUAUAUUGAAUCAGAGAAAACUCUCGGAAGCCUUUUUUUUUCUUUUCUUUUUCUGGUAAGUAGAAAACUCUAACCAUGUAAUUACCUUAAAAAUUCACCCUAACUAAUAUUCUAGAACUUAAAUUUGAUUACUAGAAGCUUUGAAAUUUAACUAAAAAAUCGAAAAAGAAAAUAUAUCAAAUAACUUUAACUAAUUUAUAUAUAUUUUCAUAUUCAGUCACUUCUGAUUGGAAGAAACUUAUCCUCUAGUUUAAUCCUUUCUUUACAAUGAAAAAACUGUUUGGAAUAUUUUUAAGUUUUAACGACUUCAACUUUUACCCAAAUUUGUUCUCCAUGAAUUGGAAUUUCCUUGUCUUCCAUUGACUAAAUCAUUAUGAAAUACUAUUAAAAUUUUCAACAUAAAACAGUUUUGUAACUGAUUCUUUAAUGCAAUAUUAGUCAAGGAAUCAUUUACUUGAUCCUAGGAUUUGGAAAAUAUUGACUUGGAUUAAUUUUUAAGGACUUUUGAUGAAUCUGGUGAUCAAUUUUAAUGACUCUGACUUGAAUAAUCUUCGCGGUAUUCUUGUUGGUCAACUUUGUUUAUAAAAUAUGCUAGAGAUAAUAGGAUGUCUAGUUUUGAAAAAAUGACAUGAAAAACCAAUCUAUAAGAAGUCAUUGACAUAAAAGUUAGUAAUACCCAGUUGAGAAAAGUAACUAAAUAGAGAUAUAAAAUGCAUAUUUCUCUUCUACUGUUCACAAACCAUAUUUAACAACCUACUUUAAACAUAAGUCUUAAAUAAGUACUUAACAAGACUUGCUUUUCUUGUAUGUCGUUAAUAUUACAAGUCGUAAAAAAUUAAUUUUCUUGUAGUGUAAUAGUACUUUUUCAGUCAUUAUAUUAUUACAUACUAACGGUGGAGUGCAUGCAUGUUUGGAAUUUAGGAUAAAUGUAUUUUGUGUGUGUGUAGAGAGAGAGCAUUUUUUUAGAUAAGAUUAGUAGAUGUGGUAACCAGCUUCAAAACUUUUCAUUCAAAUUUUUCAGUUUUUGUUUCGAGAAGUAGAGAGAGAGAUUCUAUCUUGAAUAUGUAAUGCGAUGGUUGAACAUCACGCAAUGUUCUUCUAACUUUUACUACAAAUUGAAGACAAACAAACAUUUAAAAUUACUAGAACACUUUUAUAUAAAAUCUUGUAAAGGGAAAUUAAAAAUAAAAAUUAACUUACCACCUACGGCGAUCAUGUUAGAUGACAUUUCUUCUGCUGAAUCUAAAAUAAAGGAAUUAAUAAAAAAAACAUGGUUUAUAACUAAAUGACGUACGAGUAAAUAAUUCCAAAUAUUUAAUUCCUCAAGGUGUAAAACUACUGCUACAUACAACUCUUAAAUCUUAAAAAAAAAAAUAUUUUGUUUCUUCCAAUCAGAAGUGACUGAAUAUGAAAAUAUAUAUAAAUUAGUUAAAGUUAUUUGAUAUAUUGCCUUUGAAUGGAUGGUUUAGCUUUUGAAUAUUUUGUUUGUAGCAAUUACAAAUUUUGUUUUGGUUGUAAUUUCUUUGAUAUUGGUCUUCCCCGUCUGGGGCUCACUAUAAAUCCUUCAACCUUAUAUACAAGCUUAUCUUAAAAAAAAAAAAAAAAAAAAACUGGUCAAACAUCUUUCUACUGCCCAAAUUAGUGUCCACAGAGAUCAACAAUAUAUGCAGGAAUUUUUGAAUUUUCUUUAGGCUGGUUCCGUUUCUUCCUGGAGUCAUCUUGUUUGGAUUUCAAUAUCAAGUCCUCGCCAUAAGUUCGUACUAUGGUUAGGCCAUCUCCAGCGGGCUAGCUUAAGCCCAUUUCCAGCGAGCCAAAUGGACUAUUCCUUCUCCAGCGGGCUAGCUAAAGUGAAUGGGCCAGUAGCGAUCGGGGGCCGACUCGCGAUAUUAAGCGAGCCGGCUCGCGAUCGCUGCCCAUUUUUUUUUUUGUUUUUUCUACUUUAAAAACGGCGUCGUAUUGGCUGCCUAUUUUGUCUCAUCUGCAUAAUGGUGGAACACAUAAUUAUUUUUUUAAAAAAAAAAAAAAAAAAGCUAAAAAUAGGUUCUUUUGAGCUUUUUUUAGGAAAAAAAAAAAUUAAAACAAAAUUCAUUAAAUAAAAAUAUAUAUUAUUUAGGCAUUGUUUGUCCAAAAAAAAAAAAAUUUUGGCCCAAAAAUAAAUUAAAAAACCUAUAUUUUUUUUUUUUUUGUUUUUUCCCUUAAAAUUUGUUUUUUUUUUUUUUUUGAAAAUUUUUUUGCUUUAAAUUUUAAAUGUAAGGCCAAAUAGUGUAUUUGGCCAUUAAGGCACUAUUUCUACAGUACCAAAUAGUGCCUUAACGGCUAUAAUUUUAAAAAAAAAAUUUUAAAAAUUCAAAUUUUACCCUUUUUUUUUUGUUUUUUCCCUUAAAAUUUGAUUUUUUAUUAAUUUUUUUGCUUUAAAUUUUAAACGUGUAGGCCAAAUAGUGUAUGUGGCCGUUAAGGCACUGUUUCUACAGUACCAAAUAGUGCCUUAACGGCUAUAAUUUUAAAAAAAAGUUUAAAAAUUCAAAUUUUUUAACUUUAUUCAAAAAAAAUAAAUAAAUUAAAAUUUUUAAAAUCUCUAGAAAUACCCCAAUUCCUACCAUCACUCAUCACAUCUCUAUUAUCUACCAUUCAACUUAUUUCUUCUUCUAUUUUCUCAAUCUUAGCUAUUAUUUUCAAAGUCAUUUCGAUUCCAUGGAUCCUCGACAUCCAUAUCAUUACAACACCUAAUUCAAUCCAUCAAACGAUGAGUUUUUGCCAUUUCCUGAAGAGAAUAUCAAUUAUUAUGAAGGAGAUUCUCAAUUUCCUUCUCGUCAACCAUCCCAACCUUCUUAUCAACCAUCCCAAACUUCUCAUCAAUAUUGUGGUACUAGUGUUCCACAAUCAAGUAACUCAAAACCCCCGUCAAAACAACCAGCUACUCGACAUAAUAAUUGGACCAAGGCUGAAGAUGAAGCUUUAUGCUGGGCGUGGUUGUCCAUUACCUCUGAUGCGAUUACGGGGGCAGACCAAAGUAAGCAGAAGUUAUGGGAGCGAAUUCUGGAACAAUAUAAACAACAUAUUGGUGUUCCAACUGAGCGAAAUGAUGAAGGUUUGAUGAAUCGUUGGUCAGUGAUACAACAAAAAAUCAGCAAAUUUUCCAGCUGCAUGACUACCAUAGAAAUGAAUCGUCCCAGCGGCUUCAGCAGUGAUGAUAUGAUGAUAGCAGCUAAAGACCUGUUUUGUAGCCAAACAGGUGGUGAAUUUAAGUUAGAAAGUUAAUGGGAGAUCUUGAAGCAUAACAAUAAAUGGAAUUAACAUUGUGCCGAACAAGUAGGAAAAGGAAAAAAGAAAAAAGAGACGAAGAAGAGGAGUGGAUUUGACUUUGACAUUAAUGAGUCUGUUGGGCACUCAUUACCAUCUACUCCGUCAAGUCAUGAAGCCACGACAGAUGGAGCUUCAACUGAAGAAUCACCACACGUAGGGGAAAAUGAUUCACCCUGUGUGGAAGAAUAUCAACUACAAAGACCAGCAAGAAGAAAAGCGGCGAAGCAGCGUCGAGCAAAAAUUAAUUCAGCGAAUGAAUUGCAAAUUUCAUUCGUUUCGAAAUUUAAUAAUAUCACCACCCGUUUUGAGAGUCUUCAGGAAAAAAUGCAAGAUGCCUAAGUGGCACGAGAGGUAAGAAAAAUGGAAAAAGAGAAGACAAGGCAGCUAGAGAUUAAAGAGAAACAGGGACUUGAAGAGAAGGAGCUUAAGUUAACAAAUCCAAAUUCGGCACCAACAGAAGCAGAAAAAGCUUGGAUUAUUGCACGACAAAAUGAGAUAUUGGAAAAGCUUGGAAAAGCUUGAAUUCACAGUCCGCCCCAAAGUUCCCAUAGGAUUUUGUAAUCCUUGGUCUAUUUAUUUUCUUAUUUCAAUUUAGGAUAUUGUAUUAUUUAAGUUAUUUUUAAUUAUUUUGUUUUUUUUUUUUUUUUUAAUCCAUAAUGGAUAAUGUAUUGUUUUAAGUUUUAAUAUCAAUCGUAGUUUUUUUAAUAAUUUACAAAAAUAUUGUUUGAUUGAAAAAUAUUGCCGUUGAGAAAAUAUUGCCUUUUAGGAAAAGUUUAAAAAAAAAAUUUUAAUUUUAAUUUUUUAUUAUUAUUUUUUUUAAGAGCGAAAAUUCGGAGAGUUUGAUGAAGUGAAUGUUUUUGAACUUAAAACUGCUAAUGUGGCUCUUAAAAAAGUUGAUGUGGCGUUUUUAAAGAGGCAAAAUUCGAAGAGGCCGGUGCAGAUGGCCUUAGCAAAUAAAAAAUAGGCUCUUUACCUUUCACAGAAGCGCAUUGUUAAAGAGUCAUUUCCCGUAUCAUUGUACCUUAUAUUGUUCCUCAAACGAGACUCUGAACCACUUGUUCUUCUCGUGUGAAUUCAUUUUCCCAAUUUGGAACUACACACAGAGUAUUUGUGGAUUUCACAUCAACCCUUCUUCAUCGAAUGCCCCAUUUAUCUGGGCAGCUCACCAUUGGCAAUCAAGUUCCAUUUCGAACUCUAUAAGCAAAUUGGCCAUCUCAGCUGCCGUCUACCAUAUCUGGAUGGAAAAUAAAUUGUCUGAUCUUUAGGGGCUCUCUCAAAACUCAACACAUGCUUCAAUUUGAGAUUCGCAAGGCCAUCAGAGAAUGAUUGCUAUCUUCCUCCUUCAAAAAUGGUCUAGCCGCUCAGCGUGCCCGUCGCGCUUAGGAUCUACAGCCAUCUUGCAUCAGGGCCUUCACCGCGUCCGCCGGCUAACCAGUCUCAGAGCAAAUUCAUCCAUUUACAGGAAUGAGGACGUUCCAUCAACAACACCGGAUUGGCUCUUCAGAAGAGUUGGGGCUUUCGGAUCUAAUGCCAUAUGUAUUGGUUCUUGAAAUAAAAAUUGGGCUUUCAGCCAAUCUUUUGUUCAUGUUAGGCAUUUUAGCCCACUCCACUCAUUAAGACCCCUAUAAAUAUCGUCUUAUAUAUAUAUAUUGUUUAACCAUUCGAACAAACGAAAAAAUAAAUAAAAUAAAAAAAUU